RNAcentral lists this long non-coding RNA (292 nucleotides) under Gossypium barbadense (sea-island cotton). RNAcentral describes it as "long non-coding RNA (GBAR_LNC003380)". The record is from RNAcentral. Lineage: Eukaryota; Viridiplantae; Streptophyta; Magnoliopsida; Malvales; Malvaceae.
GAUGGUCGGGAAUUUUACUCAAUGCAUCAUAUCGCUGAUCGUCGGUUAAACCUUCAAUUGACCAUAAGGCUGAAUAUAAAUUUGAAGCUCUCUCUUCCAUAUGUUGUUCUGACUUCUGCUGAACUACCACCUCGGAGGCAAAACUCCUACUGAUUUGAUCGCCAACGGCCUGGAUUUUCUCCCCGAACAAAGUGGCAGCCUCAUUAAAUGAAGAAAACACAUUAUCACGAGCAUCAGAUUUCUUCUUUCUCUUGUUUGAAGAUGAGGAACCCCCUUGGUCUCGAUCUCCUCG